UGAUAUUUAGCUUAAUGGUAAAGCAUUAUAUUUACACUAUAAAAAAUAAAAGUUCAAUUCUUUUAAUAUCAA
This 72-nucleotide transfer RNA is filed under the name Tethya citrina. Its description in RNAcentral is "trnV". It matches the Rfam family "tRNA". Rfam says of the family: Transfer RNA (tRNA) molecules are approximately 80 nucleotides in length. Their secondary structure includes four short double-helical elements and three loops (D, anti-codon, and T loops). Lineage: Eukaryota; Metazoa; Porifera; Demospongiae; Tethyida; Tethyidae. The record is from RNAcentral.